RNAcentral lists this ribosomal RNA (643 nucleotides) under Rinodina degeliana. Its description in RNAcentral is "SSU rRNA". It matches the Rfam family "Bacterial small subunit ribosomal RNA", at positions 522 to 1231 of the family's 1533-position model. The record is from RNAcentral. Lineage: Eukaryota; Fungi; Ascomycota; Lecanoromycetes; Caliciales; Physciaceae.
AAUACGUANAANACUAGUGUUAUUCAUCUUUAAUAGGUUUAAAGGGUACCUAGACGGUAAAUCANGUCCUAAAAGGAUACUAAUUUACUAGAGUUUAAUGUGAGGGGGCACUAAAGUACUGAUAAGUGUANAGAUGAAAUUCUGUGAUACAAUAUACGGCACUGGUAAAGGCGAAAGCAUCUCAUUAUGUAAUAACUGACGUUGAGGGACGAAGGCUAGGUGUAGCAAAAAGGAUUAGAUACCCAAGUAGUCUUAGCAGAAAAUUAUGAAUGUCAUAGGAUAGAAAAAGGGACAAAAUUUUUUUUUCUAUAAAUGAAAGUGUAAGCAUUCCACCUCGAGAGUAAUUUGGCAACAUUGGAACUGAAAUCAUUAGACCGUUUCUGAAACAAGUAGUGAAGUAUGUUGUUUAAUUUGAUAGUCCGCAAAAAACCUUACCACAAUUUGAAUAGAAAAUUUUCUUUCAUACAAGCGCUGCACGGUUGUCUUCAGUUAAUGUCGUGAGAUCUUGGUUAGUUCCAUUAAAUUAACGUAAACCCUUAUUUUAUUUUUAUAUAGAGUAGUUCACCGCUAGAUUGGAUGUGAUAACAGGGACUAAGACAAGUCAUCAUGGCCUUAAUAUUGUGGGCUAUAGACGUGCCACAUA